Molecule: ribosomal RNA, 825 nt
Filed under: Campylobacter jejuni
Lineage: Bacteria; Pseudomonadati; Campylobacterota; Epsilonproteobacteria; Campylobacterales; Campylobacteraceae
Description: bacterial SSU rRNA
Rfam family: Bacterial small subunit ribosomal RNA
Source: RNAcentral
AAUGGCUUAACCAUUAAACUGCUUGGGAAACUGAUAGUCUAGAGUGAGGGAGAGGCAGAUGGAAUUGGUGGUGUAGGGGUAAAAUCCGUAGAUAUCACCAAGAAUACCCAUUGCGAAGGCGAUCUGCUGGAACUCAACUGACGCUAAGGCGCGAAAGCGUGGGGAGCAAACAGGAUUAGAUACCCUGGUAGUCCACGCCCUAAACGAUGUACACUAGUUGUUGGGAUGCUAGUCAUCUCAGUAAUGCAGCUAACGCAUUAAGUGUACCGCCUGGGGAGUACGGUCGCAAGAUUAAAACUCAAAGGAAUAGACGGGGACCCGCACAAGCGGUGGAGCAUGUGGUUUAAUUCGAAGAUACGCGAAGAACCUUACCUGGGCUUGAUAUCCUAAGAACCUUAUAGAGAUAUGAGGGUGCUAGCUUGCUAGAACUUAGAGACAGGUGCUGCACGGCUGUCGUCAGCUCGUGUCGUGAGAUGUUGGGUUAAGUCCCGCAACGAGCGCAACCCACGUAUUUAGUUGCUAACGGUUCGGCCGAGCACUCUAAAUAGACUGCCUUCGUAAGGAGGAGGAAGGUGUGGACGACGUCAAGUCAUCAUGGCCCUUAUGCCCAGGGCGACACACGUGCUACAAUGGCAUAUACAAUGAGACGCAAUACCGCGAGGUGGAGCAAAUCUAUAAAAUAUGUCCCAGUUCGGAUUGUUCUCUGCAACUCGAGAGCAUGAAGCCGGAAUCGCUAGUAAUCGUAGAUCAGCCAUGCUACGGUGAAUACGUUCCCGGGUCUUGUACUCACCGCCCGUCACACCAUGGGAGUUGAUUUCACUCGAA